CAUGCAAGUCGAACGAAGCACUGAGAGUUUGAGAUUUCGGUCAAGAACUUUCUUUGACUUAGUGGCGGACGGGUGAGUAAUGCGUGAGCAACCUGCCUUUCAGAGGGGGACAACAGUUGGAAACGACUGCUAAUACCGCAUGAUAUAUUCGGAUGGCAUCGUCUGAAUAUCAAAGAUUUAUCGCUGAAAGAUGGGCUCACGUCUGAUUAGUUAGUUGGUGAGGUAACGGCUCACCAAGACUGCGAUCAGUAGCCGGACUGAGAGGUUGAACGGCCACAUUGGGACUGAGAUACGGCCCAGACUCCUACGGGAGGCAGCAGUGGGGAAUAUUGGGCAAUGGGCGAAAGCCUGACCCAGCAACGCCGCGUGAAGGAAGAAGGUCUUCGGAUUGUAAACUUCUUUUAUCAGGGACGAAGAACGUGACGGUACCUGAUGAAUAAGCCACGGCUAACUACGUGCCAGCAGCCGCGGUAAUACGUAGGUGGCAAGCGUUAUCCGGAUUUACUGGGUGUAAAGGGCGCGUAGGCGGGGAUACAAGUCAGAUGUGAAAUCUAUGGGCUUAACCCAUAAACUGCAUUUGAAACUGUAUCUCUUGAGUGUCGGAGAGGUAGACGGAAUUCCUAGUGUAGCGGUGAAAUGCGUAGAUAUUAGGAGGAACACCAGUGGCGAAGGCGGUCUACUGGACGAUAACUGACGCUGAGGCGCGAAAGCGUGGGG
This 717-nucleotide ribosomal RNA is filed under the name uncultured bacterium. RNAcentral describes it as "bacterial SSU rRNA". It matches the Rfam family "Bacterial small subunit ribosomal RNA", at positions 54 to 766 of the family's 1533-position model. The record is from RNAcentral.